Long non-coding RNA from Oncorhynchus tshawytscha (Chinook salmon), 1008 nucleotides. Lineage: Eukaryota; Metazoa; Chordata; Actinopteri; Salmoniformes; Salmonidae. The record is from Ensembl.
GUCAUUCCUUAGCAGGGGGAGGAUCAGGUCAUUCCUUAGCAGGGGGAGGAUCAGGUCAUUCCUUAGCAGGGGGAGGAUCAGGUCAUUCCUUAGCAGGGUGAGGAUCAGGUCAUUCCUUAGCAGGGGGAGGAUCAGGUCAUUCCUUAGCAGGGUGAGGCUAAGUGAGGAUAGCUCCUCAACUCUGACAUGGCCUUGGGGGAGGAUCAGGUCAUUCCUUAGCAGGGUGAGGCUAAGUGAGGAUAGCGCCUCAGACGUGUCUGAGAGAGAAUGGCAGAAUACACACAAGAGUGCAUUUUCCAUUUCCCUCUUUAUCUGUUAAGCAGUGAGUAAAUAAACGGUCACUGGUCAAUUACUUGAUUCUGAAAGUUCAUUUGAGUCUUGAACCUAUAAUUAUUUUAACUAGUGUUAUAUUAAAUUUCCUGUUUUAAAACUGACCUUUUCCCGCCCUUUGAACUUCCGCGGUUGUUGAUGCUACGGCCAGGUCCUCCACGUGUCCUGACCUUCAUCAGCGGCCAGGUUCUCCAUGAGUACUGGCCUUCGUCAGCGGCCAGGUUCUCCAUGAGUACUGGCCUUCAUCAGCGGCCAGGUUCUCCAUGUGUACUGGCCUUCAUCAGCGGCCAGGUUCUCCAUGAGUACUGGCCUUCGUCAGCGGCCAGGUUCUCCAUGUGUACUGGCCUUCAUCAGCGGCCAGGUUCUCCAUGUGUACUGGCCUUCGUCAGCUCCCAGGUCCUUGUCUUCGUCUCGAUGCCUUCAGGAACACUGAGGGCUCUGUGGACAUGAGGGGACCCAGCGAGUUCCCUAUGACGCUAGGCGGUGUUCAAAUAUCCCCCCAUGUCUCUUGUGCUAACAAAAAACAAUAAUAUCUGUGGUAUUUACCAUUCUAGCACUUAGUGCACUCACACAGACACACACAGACACACACUCACACAGACACAGACACACACUCACACAGACACACACUCACACAGACACACACUCACACAGACACACACUCACACAGACACACAC